Molecule: ribosomal RNA, 1491 nt
Filed under: metagenome
Description: bacterial SSU rRNA
Rfam family: Bacterial small subunit ribosomal RNA
Source: RNAcentral
AGAGUUUGAUCAUGGCUCAGAUUGAACGCUGGCGGCAUGCCUUACACAUGCAAGUCGAACGGCAGCACGAGAGCUUGCUCUUGGUGGCGAGUGGCGAACGGGUGAGUAAUAUAUCGGAACGUACCCUAGAGUGGGGGAUAACGUAGCGAAAGUUACGCUAAUACCGCAUACGAUCUACGGAUGAAAGUGGGGGAUCGCAAGACCUCAUGCUCAUGGAGCGGCCGAUAUCUGAUUAGCUAGUUGGUGGGGUAAAAGCUCACCAAGGCGACGAUCAGUAGCUGGUCUGAGAGGACGACCAGCCACACUGGAACUGAGACACGGUCCAGACUCCUACGGGAGGCAGCAGUGGGGAAUUUUGGACAAUGGGCGCAAGCCUGAUCCAGCAAUGCCGCGUGAGUGAAGAAGGCCUUCGGGUUGUAAAGCUCUUUUGUCAGGGAAGAAACGGUGGACUCUAAUACAGAUCACUAAUGACGGUACCUGAAGAAUAAGCACCGGCUAACUACGUGCCAGCAGCCGCGGUAAUACGUAGGGUGCAAGCGUUAAUCGGAAUUACUGGGCGUAAAGCGUGCGCAGGCGGUUGUGCAAGACAGAUGUGAAAUCCCCGGGCUCAACCUGGGAAUUGCAUUUGUGACUGCACGGCUAGAGUGUGUCAGAGGGGGGUAGAAUUCCACGUGUAGCAGUGAAAUGCGUAGAGAUGUGGAGGAAUACCGAUGGCGAAGGCAGCCCCCUGGGAUAACACUGACGCUCAUGCACGAAAGCGUGGGGAGCAAACAGGAUUAGAUACCCUGGUAGUCCACGCCCUAAACGAUGUCUACUAGUUGUCGGGUCUUAAUUGACUUGGUAACGCAGCUAACGCGUGAAGUAGACCGCCUGGGGAGUACGGUCGCAAGAUUAAAACUCAAAGGAAUUGACGGGGACCCGCACAAGCGGUGGAUGAUGUGGAUUAAUUCGAUGCAACGCGAAAAACCUUACCUACCCUUGACAUGUCUGGAAUCCUUGAGAGAUCAGGGAGUGCUCGAAAGAGAAUCAGAACACAGGUGCUGCAUGGCUGUCGUCAGCUCGUGUCGUGAGAUGUUGGGUUAAGUCCCGCAACGAGCGCAACCCUUGUCAUUAGUUGCUACGAAAGGGCACUCUAAUGAGACUGCCGGUGACAAACCGGAGGAAGGUGGGGAUGACGUCAAGUCCUCAUGGCCCUUAUGGGUAGGGCUUCACACGUCAUACAAUGGUACAUACAGAGGGCCGCCAACCCGCGAGGGGGAGCUAAUCCCAGAAAGUGUAUCGUAGUCCGGAUUGUAGUCUGCAACUCGACUACAUGAAGUUGGAAUCGCUAGUAAUCGCGGAUCAGCAUGUCGCGGUGAAUACGUUCCCGGGUCUUGUACACACCGCCCGUCACACCAUGGGAGCGGGUUUCACCAGAAGUGGGUAGCCUAACCGCAAGGAGGGCGCUCACCACGGUGGGAUUCGUGACUGGGGUGAAGUCGUAACAAGGUA